RNAcentral lists this ribosomal RNA (497 nucleotides) under uncultured bacterium. Its description in RNAcentral is "partial 16S ribosomal RNA". It matches the Rfam family "Bacterial small subunit ribosomal RNA", at positions 28 to 507 of the family's 1533-position model. The record is from RNAcentral.
GAUGAACGCUGGCGGCGUGCCUAAUACAUGCAAGUCGAGCGAACAGACGAGGAGCUUGCUCCUCUGACGUUAGCGGCGGACGGGUGAGUAACACGUGGAUAACCUACCUAUAAGACUGGGAUAACUUCGGGAAACCGGAGCUAAUACCGGAUAAUAUCUUGAACCGCAUGGUUCAAUAGUGAAAUACGGUUUUGCUGUCACUUAUAGAUGGAUCCGCGCCGCAUUAGCUAGUUGGUAGGGUAACGGCUUACCAAGGCAACGAUGCGUAGGCGACCGGAGGGGGUGAUAGGCCACACUGGAACUGAGACACGGACCAGACUCCUACGGGAGGCAGCAGUAGGGAAUCGGCCGCAAUGGGCGAAAGCCUGACGGAGCAACGCCGCGUGAGUGAUGAAGGUCUUCGGAUCGUAAAACUCUGUUAUUAGUGAAGAACAAAUGUGUAAGGAACCAUGCACGUCUUGACGGUACCUAAUCAGAAAGCAACGGCUAACUACGUG